GACGAACGCUGGCGGCGUGCUUAACACAUGCAAGUCGAACGGAAAGGCCCUGCUUGCAGGGUACUCGAGUGGCGAACGGGUGAGUAACACGUGGGUGAUCUGCCCUGCACUUCGGGAUAAGCCUGGGAAACUGGGUCUAAUACCGGAUAGGAGCCAUUUUUAGUGUGAUGGUUGGAAAGUUUUUUCGGUGUAGGAUGAGCUGGCGGCCUAUCAGCUUGUUGGUGGGGUAAUGGCCUACCAAGGCGGCGACGGGUAGCCGGCCUGAGAGGGUGGACGGCCACCCUGGGACUGAGAGACGGCCCAGACUCCGAAGGGAGGAAGCAGGGGGGAAGAUUGAACAAGGGGCGCAAGCCUGAUGCAGCGAGGCCGCGUGGGGGAUGACGGCCUUAGGGUUGAAAAAGCCUUUCGCGAGGGACGAAGCUUUUUGUGACGGUACCUAGAUAAGAAGCACCGGCUAACUACGUG
This 465-nucleotide ribosomal RNA is filed under the name uncultured bacterium. RNAcentral describes it as "partial 16S ribosomal RNA". It matches the Rfam family "Bacterial small subunit ribosomal RNA", at positions 28 to 507 of the family's 1533-position model. The record is from RNAcentral.